CUUCCCCGGCUUCCUGUGAAUCAAAUGUUCGCGGGAAGCCUGAAAAAAGGAGCGGGCAGGAUUGGCUACAGGCGUUGUCGUUGGUGUCAGACCUAGGGUAGCAGCUGAUUUAGAUUAAGUGACUGGACUCUUGGGACUGGAAGUAACCUGAAUAUUAUGAUCUUCAGUCUGGACAGUAGAGUUGUGUGUCAUCCACAUACUAAUGGUAUUGCAGCCUACACCAAGCUCUCUCGCCAUCUUCCCCAGCAAACCUCUUGAGCAGCAGGGGGUAGCAGAAAGAAAGCCAGUGGAACCAGACAUCAGAAAACCCCACGGGCUGAUGAGCCAUUACCCAGUACCAGCCAAAAGAAAUCAGAGGAGAAGUAAUGGAAGCACUCAGUCAGCAUCUGCAGGGUAAUUGACAAAAAAACAAACAAAAAAAAAAAACCCACACCUCACAG
This is a long non-coding RNA of Mauremys reevesii (Reeves's turtle), 440 nucleotides long. RefSeq lists it as uncharacterized. The transcript is spliced from 3 exons. The record is from RefSeq and is a predicted model, not a curated record. Lineage: Eukaryota; Metazoa; Chordata; Testudines; Geoemydidae.